CAGGAACAAACUCAGAGAACAUGGACCUGGGAUCAUGAGGGACCUGAUUUUCUAACCCUAAUUUCAGGGCUGAAUUAAAUCAUGUGACUUGCUAAUAGUUUCUUCUGCCAGGCCACUGAGUUCACU
Molecule: long non-coding RNA, 126 nt
Organism: Leopardus geoffroyi (Geoffroy's cat)
Lineage: Eukaryota; Metazoa; Chordata; Mammalia; Carnivora; Felidae
Exons: 3
Source: RefSeq, a predicted model, not a curated record